Molecule: microRNA precursor, 71 nt
Organism: Bison bison bison
Lineage: Eukaryota; Metazoa; Chordata; Mammalia; Artiodactyla; Bovidae
Source: Ensembl
CGCUCAUUGUCUGUCUUCCUCACAGAUGCCUCUAAAAGUCAUUUGGGGUUGGGGCAGUGUGGCUGUGUGUG